RNAcentral lists this ribosomal RNA (468 nucleotides) under uncultured bacterium. RNAcentral's name for it is "partial 16S ribosomal RNA". It matches the Rfam family "Bacterial small subunit ribosomal RNA", at positions 28 to 507 of the family's 1533-position model. The record is from RNAcentral.
GACGAACGCUGGCGGCGUGCUUAACACAUGCAAGUCGAACGGAAAGGCCCUGCUUUUGUGGGGUGCUCGAGUGGCGAACGGGUGAGUAACACGUGAGUAACCUGCCCUUGACUUUGGGAUAACUUCAGGAAGCUGGGGCUAAUACCGGAUAGGAGCUCCUGCUGCAUGGUGGGGGUUGGAAAGUUUCGGCGGUUGGGGAUGGAUUCGCGGCUUAUCAGCUUGUUGGUGGGGUAGUGGCUUACCAAGGCUUUGACGGGUAGCCGGCCUGAGAGGGUGACCGGCCACAUUGGGACUGAGAUACGGCCCAGACUCCUACGGGAGGCAGCAGUGGGGAAUAUUGCACAAUGGGCGGAAGCCUGAUGCAGCAACGCCGCGUGCGGGAUGACGGCCUUCGGGUUGUAAACCGCUUUCGCCUGUGACGAAGCGUGAGUGACGGUAAUGGGUAAAGAAGCACCGGCUAACUACGUG